Molecule: non-coding RNA, 3054 nt
Organism: Bactrocera oleae (olive fruit fly)
Lineage: Eukaryota; Metazoa; Arthropoda; Insecta; Diptera; Tephritidae
Source: RefSeq, a predicted model, not a curated record
AGGUCAUGUUGCCAAUUCUCCUUUUUGAAGGGAACAUCAGACAAGUUUUUUAAUAUCUGAUUUUUAGAAAAUUGUUGUGAGGAAGCAGCUUGUGGGGCACACAGAAAUGCGAGGCGGAUGAUAGGAUUCUCAGUGAUACAAAUUGUAAAAUUCCAAUUUUGCUGAUUCUUCAAUUUUACUGAAGACAUUCAAAUUCAAUUUCAUUCAUUUUUAUUUAAAUUUAAUUUUCGUGCAUUUGUGGUAGGAAUUCCAUAUGAAAACCAAAUUUAGUUGAUCAGGCGCACAGAAAAAAGAGCGCAGUACAUAUUUAUAAAUGCUGACACUUCGUUUUGCAGCAUACGCCCGUUCAGUUCACAGAUUAGAUAGUAUUUCUUCGUUGAUGUCUGUGAUGCUGCUUGUAUAGCACAGCUCGUUUGUGGAAAUUCACAUCAAAUAUUUGCCUGAGUUCACAUCCUAGCACAGAUGUUGUUUUAUUCCAUUUUUAAUUUUUAUAUAAUAAAUUUAUUUUAAUUUAAUUUUGAUGUUUUACUCAUUAUAUAAAUGUUCUUCAAAAUCUAAUAUUUCUUUCUGUUAAAUUUUCUUCUGAUAAUUUACUUUAAUACGCAUGCCAAACAACAUCUGCGCAUACAUAUAUUAGUCGUUCCUUUAUAAGGUGGAACUUGGUUCCUGCUUAGAGUGGUGUAGUUUGUUGAGUUCGAUUUUCAUGAGGGGAGGGUACCUUUUUGACGUGGUGUAAUUGAACUUUCGAAUUUGCGCAUUUUCGAUGUUCCCUUUUAAUAGUUUACAUUUUUGCACAGCUAACAUUUGCGCCUUCUCUAUUCAUUAACAUUCUCUGGUUAAAUACGAAUAAAUACAUAUAAAACAAUGCUUUUUAUCGCAUAUUUUUAGGCGUUCGCUAUCAAAUGACUGCUGCCACGGAUAUCAAUUAAUGUUAAGAAGCAUCCGGUUAUGAAAGGAAACCAUUUUGCUAUUUUAUUCUGUAGUAUUGCAAAUCGGACGUCAGAUGGCGCUAACAAACGUUUUUUUUUUGUGAAUUUGUAACUCGCCGCCACCCACACCAACCCAGGCCAAAGUAAUAAUAAACCCAGUUACAAUGAAAACAAUGCCGACUUUAGCAGAUCAGCCAUUUGCACGGCAAUUUUAUUGCAUUAACAUAUGAAAUACUGUAAAAAUGACAUUUAACGGGGCAUGCGCAGUAAAUGACAACAAUGCAGGCAAGCAUAAAUAUGCAUACUGACAGCAUCAUCAGUUAAUUCCGCCAUUUCUCUGUGCAUAGAUGUUAAGUGAAAAGCAAUUAAUUAUUUCGCAGAGAUUAACUGAGUUUUCAAUCAUUAUAAGUUAUUUGUGUAUAUUGUGCAAGGAGUGUACUGUAUAUGUUAGUUCAAUUAAGCGAUAACAUCGUGCGUGCGGUCGUAUGUGUUUUGUGUAGCUUUUGUCUGCUUUUGCCUCUGCGUCUGCGUCCACAUAGUAGUCGGCAAGUCGUUGGGUGGGUAGACUAGACAAACUGCCUGGCACUUUGGUGGACUUCGCUUUGCUUUUCUGCACUCAGCGCUGCUCAGUCAAAAAUCUUAAGUCAAUGAAGUCUGGAGUAAACUUCAAGUUCGCGCUGUUACCGCGACUAAAGUUGUCUGGAAGAGAUGUGAGUUUUACAGUGUAGAAAUAGUUAAUAAAUUUUUAUAUUCAUACAUAUAAUUACAUAAAGAUUAAUAUAAAUAAGAAAUAUAAGUUUUGUACGUAUGUUCAGUUUAUGCAAACUUAACGUUUCGAUGUGUAUUGAAAUCUAAGCUAACUCGUUAAACAAAUAAUAUUUAGACGUUUCAUGCAGUCAUCCAUUAGCCACAGCACGUAGCUGCCCACCCUCACCUACCAGUUAUGUGCUCUACAGCUUUUGUUAGUGUACAUUUGUUAUAUGUAUAUACUACAUUAAAAUUUCAUUUACUUUUAUUUACAAAUUUUUACAGUUAAUUAUGUUUAAUAAUUUGUUUUCUGUUGUGUUGCUGUUUGCUGUGAAAAGAGUUUCUAGAGUUUCAGCGUAAUGUGCUCUUGUGAUAAAGAGAAAGAAAAUCAUUAUUGAUUAUGAAAUCACAAAGAAAAGGUGUCAUAGCGUUUUUGUAAUACAAUAACAACCAACACGUUGUCGGGGGUAACAGGCAUACCUGUUGUUGUAGUUGUUGUCGCUUCCGUUAGCGUUGUCAAUCACGUCGUUUUGGCUGGCGCUGCAUAGUAAUUACAGGACUCGCAAAAAAUUUCAUUAAUUUAUAUAAUUUUUUAAGCAAAAUUACCCAGCUCUAAAUGCUUUGAAAGCCGCCACUGUUAACUUUGUCUUCUGUAAUGUUAUUGCUGUUCUACUUCAUAGCCUAACAGGCAAAGCAUUUGGUCAAAAUCAAUAAAAUAACAAUAGCAGUGCAAAUGUUCAUAAAAAACUACUGAUGAAAACAAAUUUAAACAAAAAAAUACACAGUGAAGUAUGCAGAAACAAUGUUAUAGUAAUUUAUGUAUGCCGAUAUUGUAAAAAUGCCUAUUAUACCUUACAUCCACUGCCGUGCUACAGAUUAUUCACUAAUCACACCUUAACCCUAAAUAGCGUAGUAGUUACUUACUCGUCGCUAUCGCCGUGCCAGUCCAGGAUGUUGUGAAAUUAAAUCAAUGCCAAAAGUAAUGAAAAUUUUUUCGUGAUAAAAAAAUAAAUUAAUGUAUGAACAUAGUAUACAUUAAUUAUUAAUUCUUGGUUCUUUAUAAAAAAAAAAAUUAAUUUCUCUCUCUUCUAAAAAUUUAACGUUUCUGGAAGAUAUAAAAUUUAUUGUUACUUCUUAUAUAAUGAUAAUGUGAAAUUAAUUUGCAUUCUAUAUACAUAUGCAUGUAUAUGGUAUACAUACUCCUCUUCGUUGUAAGUCAUAAACCGGUAUUAAAAAAAUAUUUUUAAUAAUAAAAUUUUUGUUUUAAAAAUUAUAUUCAGUAUUAUAAUCGGUUGAAAUUUUCAAAAUAUGAUGUUGUACCUUAUUCUACAACCGGUGUUCAGUUCUACGGUUUAACUCUGACUUGUUUGGGUACCUA